RNAcentral lists this ribosomal RNA (465 nucleotides) under Vreelandella stevensii. RNAcentral describes it as "partial 16S ribosomal RNA". It matches the Rfam family "Bacterial small subunit ribosomal RNA", at positions 338 to 795 of the family's 1533-position model. Lineage: Bacteria; Pseudomonadati; Pseudomonadota; Gammaproteobacteria; Oceanospirillales; Halomonadaceae. The record is from RNAcentral.
CCUACGGGAGGCAGCAGUGGGGAAUAUUGGACAAUGGGCGAAAGCCUGAUCCAGCCAUGCCGCGUGUGUGAAGAAGGCCUUCGGGGUGUAAAGCACUUUCAGUGGGGAAGAAAGCCUUGGGGCUAAUACCCUCGAGGAAGGACAUCACCCACAGAAGAAGCACCGGCUAACUCCGUGCCAGCAGCCGCGGUAAUACGGAGGGUGCGAGCGUUAAUCGGAAUUACUGGGCGUAAAGCGCGCGUAGGCGGUCUGAUAAGCCGGUUGUGAAAGCCCCGGGCUCAACCUGGGAACGGCAUCCGGAACUGUCAGGCUAGAGUGCAGGAGAGGAAGGUAGAAUUCCCGGUGUAGCGGUGAAAUGCGUAGAGAUCGGGAGGAAUACCAGUGGCGAAGGCGGCCUUCUGGACUGACACUGACGCUGAGGUGCGAAAGCGUGGGUAGCAAACAGGAUUAGAUACCCGGGUAGUC